RNAcentral lists this ribosomal RNA (301 nucleotides) under uncultured bacterium. RNAcentral's name for it is "partial 16S ribosomal RNA". It matches the Rfam family "Bacterial small subunit ribosomal RNA", at positions 509 to 807 of the family's 1533-position model. The record is from RNAcentral.
CAGUAGCCGCGGGAAUACGUAGGUGGCAAGCGUUGUCCGGAAUUAUUGGGCGUAAAGGGCUCGCAGGCGGUUUCUUAAGUCUGAUGUGAAAGCCCCCGGCUCAACCGGGGAGGGUCAUUGGAAACUGGGAAACUUGAGUGCAGAAGAGGAGAGUGGAAUUCCACGUGUAGCGGUGAAAUGCGUAGAGAUGUGGAGGAACACCAGUGGCGAAGGCGACUCUCUGGUCUGUAACUGACGCUGAGGAGCGAAAGCGUGGGGAGCGAACAGGAUUAGAUAUCCCAGUAGUCCCUGUCUCUUAUAC